RNAcentral lists this ribosomal RNA (297 nucleotides) under uncultured bacterium. Its description in RNAcentral is "partial 16S ribosomal RNA". It matches the Rfam family "Bacterial small subunit ribosomal RNA", at positions 338 to 628 of the family's 1533-position model. The record is from RNAcentral.
CCUACGGGACGCAGCAGUAGGGAAUUUUCGUCAAUGGGCGCAAGCCUGAACGAGCGAUGCCGCGUGAGUGAAGAAGGCCUUCGGGUCGUAAAGCUCUGUUGCGGGGGAAAAAAGGCAGCAUCAGGAAAUGGGUGCUGACUGAUGGUGCCCCGCCAGAAAGUCACGGCUAACUACGUGCCAGCAGCCGCGGUAAUACGUAGGGGGCAAGCGUUAUCCGGAUUUAUUGGGUUUAAAGGGUGCGUAGGCGGUCCGGAAAGUCAGCGGUAAAAGCCCGGGGCUCAACCCCGGCGAGCCGUU